Molecule: ribosomal RNA, 484 nt
Filed under: uncultured bacterium
Lineage: Bacteria
Description: partial 16S ribosomal RNA
Rfam family: Bacterial small subunit ribosomal RNA
Source: RNAcentral
AUUGAACGCUGGCGGCAGGCCUAACACAUGCCAGUCGAGCGGAUGAAGGGAGCUUGCUCCUGGAUUCAGCGGCGGACGGGUGAGUAAUGCCUAGGAAUCUGCCUGGUAGUGGGGGAUAACGUCCGGAAACGGGCGCUAAUACCGCAUACGUCCUGAGGGAGAAAGUGGGGGAUCUUCGGACCUCACGCUAUCAGAUGAGCCUAGGUCGGAUUAGCGAGUUGGUGGGGUAAAGGCCUACCAAGGCGACGAUCCGUAACUGGUCUGAGAGGAUGAUCAGUCACACUGGAACUGAGACACGGUCCAGACUCCUACGGGAGGCAGCAGUGGGGAAUAUUGGACAAUGGGCGAAAGCCUGAUCCAGCCAUGCCGCGUGUGUGAAGAAGGUCUUCGGAUUGUAAAGCACUUUAAGUUGGGAGGAAGGGCAGUAAGUUAAUACCUUGCUGUUUUGACGUUACCAACAGAAUAAGCACCGGCUAACUUCGUG